GACGAACGCUGGCGGCGUGCUUAACACAUGCAAGUCGAACGGAAAGGCCCUGCUUUUGUGGGGUGCUCGAGUGGCGAACGGGUGAGUAACACGUGAGUAACCUGCCCUUGACUUUGGGAUAACUUCAGGAAACUGGGGCUAUUACCGGAUAGGAGCUCCUGCUGCAUGGUGGGGGUUGGAAAGUUUCGGCGGUUGGGGAUGGACUUGCGGCUUAUCAGCUUGUUGGUGGGGUAGUGGCUUACCAAGGCUUUGACGGGUAGCCGGCCUGAGAGGGUGACCGGCCACAUUGGGACUGAGAUACGGCCCAGACUCCUACGGGAGGCAGCAGUGGGGAAUAUUGCACAAUGGGCGGAAGCCUGAUGCAGCAACGCCGCGUGCGGGAUGACGGCCUUCGGGUUGUAAACCGCUUUCGCCUGUGACGAAGCGUGAGUGACGGUAAUGGGUAAAGAAGCACCGGCUAACUACGUG
RNAcentral lists this ribosomal RNA (468 nucleotides) under uncultured bacterium. RNAcentral describes it as "partial 16S ribosomal RNA". It matches the Rfam family "Bacterial small subunit ribosomal RNA", at positions 28 to 507 of the family's 1533-position model. The record is from RNAcentral.